This 321-nucleotide ribosomal RNA is filed under the name uncultured Lentisphaerota bacterium. RNAcentral describes it as "bacterial SSU rRNA". It matches the Rfam family "Bacterial small subunit ribosomal RNA", at positions 29 to 351 of the family's 1533-position model. The record is from RNAcentral. Lineage: Bacteria; Pseudomonadati; Lentisphaerota.
AAUGAACGCUGGCGGCAUGGAUUAGGCAUGCAAGUCGAACGGUGAGGCCCCGCAAGGGGCCGAUCAGUGGCGUAAGGGUGAGGAACACGUGAGCAACCUGCCCCUGAAUUCGGGAUAGGCCUGGGAAACCGGGAUUAAUACCGAAUGUGGUUCCCCGUCGCAUGGCGGGGGCACUAAAGAUUUAUUGUUCAGGGAGGGGCUCGCGUCCGAUUAGCUUGUUGGUGAGGUAACGGCCCACCAAGGCUGUGACAGGUAGCUGGUCUGAGAGGAUGGUCAGCCACACUGGGACUGAGACACUGCCCAGACUCCUACGGGAGGCUG